GACGAACGCUGGCGGCGUGCUUAACACAUGCAAGUCGUACGAUGAUCCGGCUCUUCGGAGCUGGUGAUUAGUGGCGAACGGGUGAGUAACACGUGGGUGACCUGCCCUGCACUCUGGGAUAAGCCCGGGAAACUGGGUCUAAUACUGGAUACGACCAGUGGCCGCAUGGUCUGCUGGUGGAAAGCCCUUCGGGGUGGUGUGGGAUGGGCCCGCGGCCUAUCAGCUUGUUGGUGGGGUGAUGGCCUACCAAGGCGACGACGGGUAGCCGGCCUGAGAGGGUGUCCGGCCACACUGGGACUGAGACACGGCCCAGACUCCUACGGGAGGCAGCAGUGGGGAAUCUUGCACAAUGGGCGAAAGCCUGAUGCAGCGACGCCGCGUGAGGGAUGACGGCCUUCGGGUGGUAAACCUCUUUCGGCAGGGAACAAGCCUGGGGGUUGUCUUCUGGGUGAGGGUACCUGCGGAAGAAGCACCGGCUAACUACGUG
Molecule: ribosomal RNA, 487 nt
Filed under: uncultured bacterium
Lineage: Bacteria
Description: partial 16S ribosomal RNA
Rfam family: Bacterial small subunit ribosomal RNA
Source: RNAcentral